This 468-nucleotide ribosomal RNA is filed under the name uncultured bacterium. Its description in RNAcentral is "partial 16S ribosomal RNA". It matches the Rfam family "Bacterial small subunit ribosomal RNA", at positions 28 to 507 of the family's 1533-position model. The record is from RNAcentral.
GACGAACGCUGGCGGCGUGCUUAACACAUGCAAGUCGAACGGAAAGGCCCUGCUUUUGUGGGGUGCUCGAGUGGCGAACGGGUGAGUAACACGUGAGUAACCUGCCCUUGACUUUGGGAUAACUUCAGGAAACUGGGGCUAAUACCGGAUAGGAGCUCCUGCUGCAUGGUGGGGGUUGGAAAGUUUCGGCGGUUGGGGAUGGACUCGCGGCUUAUCAGCUUGUUGGUGGGGUAGUGGCUUACCAAGGCUUUGACGGGUAGCCGGCCUGAGAGGGUGACCGGCCACAUUGGGACUGAGAUACGGCCCAGACUCAUACGGGAGGCAGCAGUGGGGAAUAUUGCACAAUGGGCGGAAGCCUGAUGCAGCAACGCCGCGUGCGGGAUGACGGCCUUCGGGUUGUAAACCGCUUUCGCAUGUGACGAAGCGUGAGUGACGGUAAUGGGUAAAGAAGCACCGGCUAACUACGUG